This is a long non-coding RNA of Apis dorsata (giant honeybee), 396 nucleotides long. RefSeq lists it as uncharacterized. Lineage: Eukaryota; Metazoa; Arthropoda; Insecta; Hymenoptera; Apidae. The transcript has 3 exons. The record is from RefSeq and is a predicted model, not a curated record.
AAUUAAAAUAUAUUAUGUAAUAUUUUAAUUUUUCGCGUGAUUUCGAUUAUAGAAUUUGCUUACGCCAAUCAGAAAGCCGUUAGGCGAACUGUGGCGUACGGCGUCAGUCUCUUGUGGAAAGUCAUCGUGAUAGGACGCGUAUUUGUAACUAGCUUUGCUGAUUUGAAUACGCAGUAGUAAUUUCCAUUUCUUCAUAUUCGAUGGCUAUUUUGCAAUGAUAUUCUAGAGAUUACAUCAGCAUUGAUGACAGAGUAGAUUUUUGCAUUUAUUGAGAUCAAUGUGGAAUCAAUGUGGAAUCAAUAAAGAAUUCUUAUAUUCAUAUUAUUUUCUGGUUUUAUUGAGAUUUUUUGGUAGAUAGACUUCCUAAAUAAAUCUUUAAAUUAUUAUGUAAAAAAA